This 530-nucleotide long non-coding RNA is filed under the name Glycine max (soybean). Its description in RNAcentral is "long non-coding RNA (GMAX_LNC003190)". Lineage: Eukaryota; Viridiplantae; Streptophyta; Magnoliopsida; Fabales; Fabaceae. The record is from RNAcentral.
CUACAAGCUAGAGAUGCACGAUGGCAAUCACAGUGAAACUGAUCAUGCGUGCUAUUAUUGAACUGGUUGUAGCUGUCCAGGUUGCAGUCAAAAGGAGGCAGCUCUUUCCGAACAACAUUUUAAGAAGCAUGGAAGAGGAGUAUGAGGAGGACAUGGAGAGGGUGGUGAGUUUUCUAGUACAAUAUCGUUAAUUUUUGUACUUGUUUUAUUGUUAUUUAUGGGAAAAUAUUUACCGCCUUCUAAAAAAAAUUAAGAUGGAAGUUGUAAUGCUAUCUUGCAGGUGGAUCCAACUGGAUCCCCGUUUUUUGUGACGAAAACAAAUUUCACUGCAAUGUGUAUUUAUUAGUUCAUUGAAAAUGUGUUAUUUUGCUUGCUUAGAUGUUUAAUUGGUUGGUUAAUGCUGAGCAGCAUGUCUUAAGUCUAGGUUGCUUCUUGUAGGAACAAAUAAGGCGUAUGCAAAGUGUGUUUAAUAGAGAAAGGGAUAAGUAUAGAAUAAACUAUGAGAGCUGGAAGGAAAAUGGUGUUGGUGC